This 260-nucleotide ribosomal RNA is filed under the name Neorhizobium galegae. Its description in RNAcentral is "partial 16S Ribosomal RNA". It matches the Rfam family "Bacterial small subunit ribosomal RNA", at positions 46 to 334 of the family's 1533-position model. The record is from RNAcentral. Lineage: Bacteria; Pseudomonadati; Pseudomonadota; Alphaproteobacteria; Hyphomicrobiales; Rhizobiaceae.
AGGCUUAACACAUGCAAGUCGAGCGCCUCGCAAGAGGAGCGGCAGACGGGUGAGUAACGCGUGGGAAUCUACCCAUCCCUACGGAACAACUCCGGGAAACUGGAGCUAAUACCGUAUACGCCCUUCGGGGGAAAGAUUUAUCGGGGAUGGAUGAGCCCGCGUUGGAUUAGCUAGUUGGUGGGGUAAAGGCCUACCAAGGCGACGAUCCAUAGCUGGUCUGAGAGGAUGAUCAGCCACAUUGGGACUGAGACACGGCCCAA